ACUAUAUACACAUUUCUUCUCCGUUGCUCUCGGUGAAAGUACUACACGAUAAAAUGGGAAAUGUGCAUUUGUACCGGUGAUUAAUGAAGGAAGCAACAUUCUGAAUACCACAAGCUACUGACAACAAUGAACAUCAACAGUAGCAGCGAUAUUCUCAGAAAUGAUUGACAAGACAAGACAAUAUAAAAUAACAUCAUUUCUUGUAAAAUAAUUAUAUAAAAUCUAUUUAGAAAGAGUUCCUACAAAUCAGA
Molecule: long non-coding RNA, 251 nt
Organism: Bombus huntii
Lineage: Eukaryota; Metazoa; Arthropoda; Insecta; Hymenoptera; Apidae
Exons: 2
Source: RefSeq, a predicted model, not a curated record